This 168-nucleotide ribosomal RNA is filed under the name Phaseolus perplexus. Its description in RNAcentral is "5.8S ribosomal RNA". It matches the Rfam family "5.8S ribosomal RNA". Rfam says of the family: 5.8S ribosomal RNA (5.8S rRNA) is a component of the large subunit of the eukaryotic ribosome. Lineage: Eukaryota; Viridiplantae; Streptophyta; Magnoliopsida; Fabales; Fabaceae. The record is from RNAcentral.
AUGUGAAAUGACUCUCGGCAACGGAUAUCUCGGCUCUUGCAUCGAUGAAGAACGUAGCGAAAUGCGAUACUUGGUGUGAAUUGCAGAAUCCCGUGAACCAUCGAGUCUUUGAACGCAAGUUGCGCCCAAAGCCAUUAGGCUGAGGGCACGCCUGCCUGGGUGUCACAC